This 445-nucleotide ribosomal RNA is filed under the name uncultured bacterium. RNAcentral's name for it is "partial 16S ribosomal RNA". It matches the Rfam family "Bacterial small subunit ribosomal RNA", at positions 354 to 796 of the family's 1533-position model. The record is from RNAcentral.
GUGAGGAAUAUUGGUCAAUGGGCGGGAGCCUGAACCAGCCAAGUCGCGUGAAGGAAGAAGGAUCUAUGGUUCGUAAACUUCUUUUGCAGGGGAAUAAAGUGCAGGACGUGUCCUGUUUUGUAUGUACCCUGAGAAUAAGGAUCGGCUAACUCCGUGCCAGCAGCCGCGGUAAUACGGAGGAUCCGAGCGUUAUCCGGAUUUAUUGGGUUUAAAGGGUGCGUAGGUGGUUUGAUAAGUCAGUGGUGAAAGUUUGCAGCUUAACUGUAAAAAUGCCGUUGAAACUGUCGGACUUGAGUGUAAAUGAGGUAGGCGGAAUGCGUGGUGUAGCGGUGAAAUGCAUAGAUAUCACGCAGAACUCCGAUUGCGAAGGCAGCUUACUAAGCUACAACUGACACUGAAGCACGAAAGCGUGGGGAUCAAACAGGAUUAGAUACCCCGGUAGUCC